CUGAUAACAGAUGUGAUUUCCAGCUGUGUCUAUAUACCAACCAUAUCUCCAGAUGAACAAAAGCAGAACUAUGAGAGGGUUCUCCACAUCUGUAAAGAAGAAAAAAUAAUAAACCGUCCAGCCAAUAUCAUAAGGUGUGUGAAGUACAGAAGACGCUUAUCAAAGUAA
Pan paniscus (pygmy chimpanzee) is the source of this 168-nucleotide long non-coding RNA. The record is from Ensembl. NCBI's taxonomy places the organism in Eukaryota, Metazoa, Chordata, Mammalia, Primates, Hominidae.